Molecule: ribosomal RNA, 468 nt
Filed under: uncultured bacterium
Lineage: Bacteria
Description: partial 16S ribosomal RNA
Rfam family: Bacterial small subunit ribosomal RNA
Source: RNAcentral
GACGAACGCUGGCGGCGUGCUUAACACAUGCAAGUCGAACGGAAAGGCCCUGCUUUUGUGGGGUGCUCGAGUGGCGAACGGGUGAGUAACACGUGAGUAACCUGCCCUUGACUUUGGGAUAACUUCAGGAAACUGGGGCUAAUACCGGAUAGGAGCUCCUGCUGCAUGGUGGGGGUUGGAAAGUUUCGGCGGUUUGGGAUGGACUCGCGGCUUAUCAGCUUGUUGGUGGGGUAGUGGCUUACCCAGGCUUUGACGGGUAGCCGGCCUGAGAGGGUGGCCGGCCACAUUGGGACUGAGGUACGGCCCAGACGCCUACGGGAGGCAGCAGUGGGGAAUAUUGCACAAUGGGCGGAAGCCUGAUGCAGCAACGCCGCGUGCGGGAUGACGGCCUUCGGGUUGUAAACCGCUUUCGCCUGUGACGAAGCGUGAGUGACGGUAAUGGGUAAAGAAGCACCGGCUAACUACGUG